CCUACGGGAGGCAGCAGUGGGGAAUAUUGCACAAUGGGGGAAACCCUGAUGCAGCGACGCCGCGUGAGUGAAGAAGUAUUUCGUUACGUAAAGCUCUAUCAGCAGGGAAGAAAAUGACGGUACCUGACUAAGAAGCCCCGGCUAACUACGUGCCAGCAGCCGCGGUAAUACGUAGGGGGCAAGCGUUAUCCGGAUUUACUGGGUGUAAAGGGAGCGUAGACGGCAGUGCAAGUCUGGAGUGAAAUGCCAGGGCUCAACCAUGGGACUGCUUUGGAAACUGUGCGGCUGGAGUGCAGGAGAGGUAAGCGGAAUUCCUAGUGUAGCGGUGAAAUGCGUAGAUAUUAGGAGGAACACCAGUGGCGAAGGCGGCUUACUGGACUGUAACUGACGUUGAGGCUCGAAAGCGUGGGGAGCAAACAGGAUUAGAUACCCCGGUAGUC
RNAcentral lists this ribosomal RNA (440 nucleotides) under uncultured bacterium. Its description in RNAcentral is "partial 16S ribosomal RNA". It matches the Rfam family "Bacterial small subunit ribosomal RNA", at positions 338 to 795 of the family's 1533-position model. The record is from RNAcentral.